CCUACGGGAGGCAGCAGUGGGGAAUUUUGGACAAUGGGCGCAAGCCUGAUCCAGCAAUGCCGCGUGAGUGAAGAAGGCCUUCGGGUUGUAAAGCUCUUUUGUCAGGGAAGAAACGGUCUACUCUAAUACAGUGGGCUAAUGACGGUACCUGAAGAAUAAGCACCGGCUAACUACGUGCCAGCAGCCGCGGUAAUACGUAGGGUGCAAGCGUUAAUCGGAAUUACUGGGCGUAAAGCGUGCGCAGGCGGUUAUAUAAGUCAGAUGUGAAAUCCCCGGGCUCAACCUGGGAACUGCAUUUGAGACUGUAUGGCUAGAGUGUGUCAGAGGGGGGUAGAAUUCCACGUGUAGCAGUGAAAUGCGUAGAUAUGUGGAGGAAUACCGAUGGCGAAGGCAGCCCCCUGGGAUAACACUGACGCUCAUGCACGAAAGCGUGGGGAGCAAACAGGAUUAGAUACCCUGGUAGUCCACGCCCUAAACGAUGUCUACUAGUUGUCGGGACUUAAUUGUCUUGGUAACGCAGCUAACGCGUGAAGUAGACCGCCUGGGGGUAGGUUAGGUUCGUCGAGAGUAAACGUUACGAAGAGUAGAGGCGNGAGAGNGCGACGGACGACGACGAGGGAGGAGG
Molecule: ribosomal RNA, 625 nt
Filed under: uncultured bacterium
Lineage: Bacteria
Description: bacterial SSU rRNA
Rfam family: Bacterial small subunit ribosomal RNA (bases 1-542)
Source: RNAcentral